UACGGAGGGGGCUAGCGUUGUUCGGAAUUACUGGGCGUAAAGCGCACGUAGGCGGCUUUGUAAGUUUGAGGUGAAAGCCCGGGGCUCAACUCCGGAAUUGCCUUUAAGACUGCAUCGCUAGAAUUGUGGAGAGGUAAGUGGAAUUCCGAGUGUAGAGGUGAAAUUCGUAGAUAUUCGGAAGAACACCAGUGGCGAAGGCGACUUACUGGACACAUAUUGACGCUGGGGUGCGAAAGCGUGGGGAGCAAACAGG
This 253-nucleotide ribosomal RNA is filed under the name uncultured bacterium. RNAcentral describes it as "partial 16S ribosomal RNA". It matches the Rfam family "Bacterial small subunit ribosomal RNA", at positions 524 to 776 of the family's 1533-position model. The record is from RNAcentral.